GCUCCGCACAAGUUCCUCGAAUGCACGCACACCUGGUCGCAUUGUUCUUGUUGCGGUAGUCCGAAGGAUGCAGCGGCAAGGACGUAGGAACGCUAUGCCGAGUUUCUGGCCGCUGCGCGCCGCAUUAUAGGGCGCUGGCCAUACGUCUGUAUUCCAUUAUGUAAUGGGCCAUUGUACCGCGCAAUUCUGCCAUGGAAGAGGAGAAAUGCCAUUGGGUGUCGUAUACAUCGGUCCAACGGCAGACUCGGCUCUCUUAAUCAAAGCAAACGACCGCGAAUUGAAAUUAUUGAUGUCAAGAGGAUAGGUAUGUUCAGUGUUGUACUAUGUAUGGAGAGUAAAAAAGAGGCAAAAUACCGCAAUUUGUGAUGCAAGUGAAAUCAAGGAUCUUCUAUGACUUAAAAUGAAGAAACAAUAAUAUUGUAAAUAAUAGUAUAUACACUAAUAAAAGAGUAAUAAUUACUGGUUCAAUAAUUUAAUAUAAUUG
Molecule: unclassified non-coding RNA, 484 nt
Filed under: Bombus terrestris (buff-tailed bumblebee)
Lineage: Eukaryota; Metazoa; Arthropoda; Insecta; Hymenoptera; Apidae
Description: misc RNA ENSBTSG00005024000.1
Source: RNAcentral